Molecule: long non-coding RNA, 223 nt
Filed under: Setaria italica (foxtail millet)
Lineage: Eukaryota; Viridiplantae; Streptophyta; Magnoliopsida; Poales; Poaceae
Description: long non-coding RNA (SITA_LNC000447)
Source: RNAcentral
AGGCCAACACUUUCAUGUCUCUUCCUUCAUACAACCCACCACAUCUCGAAACACUCUAUACGGCCCAACAACCCCAAUACGGCCCAACGAACAACAAUUUUAACGUGCACAUGGCCUUCCAGGCUCGGAGGUUCCCAGUUCCCACCGUCAGUCAACAUUUAUCCUAUCCGACUCAUUAUUCCCUCAACCGUAUCUCCCCGAGCGAGCACUAGGCAGGCGGCCA